This 402-nucleotide ribosomal RNA is filed under the name Brucella melitensis. Its description in RNAcentral is "partial 16S ribosomal RNA". It matches the Rfam family "Bacterial small subunit ribosomal RNA", at positions 355 to 774 of the family's 1533-position model. RNAcentral also lists the same sequence under 1 other name. Lineage: Bacteria; Pseudomonadati; Pseudomonadota; Alphaproteobacteria; Hyphomicrobiales; Brucellaceae. The record is from RNAcentral.
UGGGGAAUAUUGGACAAUGGGCGCAAGCCUGAUCCAGCCAUGCCGCGUGAGUGAUGAAGGCCUUAGGGUUGUAAAGCUCUUUUAUCCGGGACGAUAAUGACGGUACCGGAGGAAUAAGCCCCGGCUAACUUCGUGCCAGCAGCCGCGGUAAUACGAAGGGGGCUAGCGUUGCUCGGAAUCACUGGGCGUAAAGGGCGCGUAGGCGGCGUUUUAAGUCGGGGGUGAAAGCCUGUGGCUCAACCACAGAAUGGCCUUCGAUACUGGGACGCUUGAGUAUGGUAGAGGUUGGUGGAACUGCGAGUGUAGAGGUGAAAUUCGUAGAUAUUCGCAAGAACACCGGUGGCGAAGGCGGCCAACUGGACCAUCACUGACGCUGAGGCGCGAAAGCGUGGGGAGCAAACA